Molecule: unclassified non-coding RNA, 378 nt
Filed under: uncultured bacterium
Lineage: Bacteria
Description: contains 16S-23S intergenic spacer region
Source: RNAcentral
UCCGGUUUGUCACCGGCAGUCCCAUUAGAGUGCUCAACUGAAUGUAGCAACUAAUGGCAAGGGUUGCGCUCGUUGCGGGACUUAACCCAACAUCUCACGACACGAGCUGACGACAGCCAUGCAGCACCUGUGUUGCGGUUCCCUUUCGGGCACCCCUGCAUUUCUGCAGGGUUCCGCACAUGUCAAGGGUAGGUAAGGUUCUUCGCGUUGCGUCGAAUUGAACCACAUGCUCCACCGCUUGUGCGGGCCCCCGCCUAUUCCUUUGAGUUUUAACCUUGCGGCCGUAGUCCCCAGGCGGUGAACUUAAUGCGUUAGCUGCGGCACUGAUCGGGUCAAUCCGACCAACACCUAGUUCACAACGUUUAGGGCGUGGACUAC